AUGGCUAGGGAAGAGGAGAUGGAGAUCAAGAAGAAAGAAGAGGCAGGCGGGCAAGGGAAGGCUCAGUCUCGGUUCAGAAGGAUAUGCGUCUUCUGUGGGAGCAGCAAGGGCAACAAGAAGAGCUACCAGGAUGCUGCCGUUGAGCUUGGCAAGGAGCUGGUUGCAAGGAACAUUGAUUUGGUGUACGGAGGAGGCAGCCUGGGGCUCAUGGGCCUGGUCUCUCAAGCAGUGCACAGCAGAGGGAGGCAAGUAACUGGGAUGAUUCCCACAACCCUCAUGCCCAGAGAGAUAAUUGGUGAGACAGCGGGGGAGGUGAAGGAAGUGGCAGACAUGCACCAAAGGAAAGCUGAGAUGGGCAGGCAAUCUGAUGCAUUUAUAGCGCUCCCUGGAGGGUAUGGAACGCUUGAAGAGCUCCUAGAAGUAAUCACAUGGGCCCAGCUUCGCAUUCACGACAAGCCAGUUGGGCUGCUGAAUGUGGACGGCUAUUACAACGCUCUGCUAUCUUUCAUCGACAAGGCCAUGGAGGAAGGGUUGAUCGCGCCCACCGCACGCCACAUCAUCGUGCUGGGUACGACAGCCAGUGAACUGCUCGACAAGCUGCAGGAGUACUCUCCACGUCACGGGGAAAUGAAGGGUGAGGUGGAACAACUUAGCAGCCGUAAGAACUGCGACAUGGAUGGGCUGAAAGAAGGAUCAUCCCAGGGACCCGAUGCAGCAUGA
This 720-nucleotide ribosomal RNA is filed under the name Triticum aestivum (bread wheat). RNAcentral's name for it is "partial small subunit ribosomal RNA". Lineage: Eukaryota; Viridiplantae; Streptophyta; Magnoliopsida; Poales; Poaceae. The record is from RNAcentral.